ACCUGGCUGGCUCAGUUGGUAGGGUAUGGGACUCUUAAUCUCAGGGUCAAGAGUUCAAGCCUCAUGUUAGGUG
RNAcentral lists this transfer RNA (73 nucleotides) under Mustela putorius furo (domestic ferret). It matches the Rfam family "tRNA". From Rfam's summary of the family: Transfer RNA (tRNA) molecules are approximately 80 nucleotides in length. Their secondary structure includes four short double-helical elements and three loops (D, anti-codon, and T loops). The record is from Rfam by way of RNAcentral. Lineage: Eukaryota; Metazoa; Chordata; Mammalia; Carnivora; Mustelidae.